RNAcentral lists this ribosomal RNA (504 nucleotides) under uncultured bacterium. RNAcentral describes it as "partial 16S ribosomal RNA". It matches the Rfam family "Bacterial small subunit ribosomal RNA", at positions 29 to 523 of the family's 1533-position model. The record is from RNAcentral.
AUUGAACGCUGGCGGCAGGCCUAACACAUGCAAGUCGGACGGUAGCACAGAGAGCUUGCUCUCGGGUGACGAGUGGCGGACGGGUGAGUAAUGUCUGGGGAUCUGCCCGAUAGAGGGGGAUAACCGCUGGAAACGGUGGCUAAUACCGCAUAACGUCGCAAGACCAAAGCGGGGGACCUUCGGGCCUCUCACUAUCGGAUGAACCCAGAUGGGAUUAGCUAGUAGGCGGGGUAACGGCCCACCUAGGCGACGAUCCCUAGCUGGUCUGAGAGGAUGACCAGCCACACUGGAACUGAGACACGGUCCAGACUCCUACGGGAGGCAGCAGUGGGGAAUAUUGCACAAUGGGCGCAAGCCUGAUGCAGCCAUGCCGCGUGUAUGAAGAAGGCCUUCGGGUUGUAAAGUACUUUCAGCGGGGAGGAAGGCGAUGUGGUUAAUAACCGCGUCGAUUGACGUUACCCGCAGAAGAAGCACCGGCUAACUCCGUGCCAGCCGCCGCCGUAA